UUGACCCCAAUCAGGUAGGACUACCC
This 26-nucleotide ribosomal RNA is filed under the name Melanoleuca robusta. RNAcentral describes it as "partial 28S ribosomal RNA". The record is from RNAcentral. Lineage: Eukaryota; Fungi; Basidiomycota; Agaricomycetes; Agaricales; Pluteaceae.